RNAcentral lists this long non-coding RNA (12407 nucleotides) under Nicotiana tabacum (common tobacco). RNAcentral describes it as "long non-coding RNA (NTAB_LNC007482)". Lineage: Eukaryota; Viridiplantae; Streptophyta; Magnoliopsida; Solanales; Solanaceae. The record is from RNAcentral.
CUCUUUGUAUUGUCUAUUAGGCAAAAAUUAUAUUAAUAGUAGUACUCCAUAUUAAAUCCUAAAGUUUAAUUUUGAACUCACAUUUAUCUCUUCUUCUCACGUCAACAAUGGGUUAUCGGCAGAAGAGUCAAACACAAAGGAACAAGAAUAAAAUAGCAAAUUAAAUUUAAACCAUUCAAGACAUAGAACAUCACAAAGAGGCAUAAAUCAGAAAACAAAUUAAACCUUAAUUUUAUUCCCAAAGUACAGAGUGAGAUAGAAAGGAUAAUGGAACUUAAUAUUUAAUUUGAAACUCAAACGCUUGGACUACUUUGAGACUCAUAAGCAACAAGAUCGCGAACAAGACCUCAAUGGAAAACCUCUCCAGAAACCUCGGACUAAAGCCUGUGUGCUAAUGGUGUUUUGAGAUGAUUUUGAGCAACAAUUGCUGCCUAUGAAGAUCAGUACCGCAUGGGAGAAGUGCACAAGGACAUUGGAGUGGCCCUUUGUUUUCGUCCCUUUUUCCAAAUCUCUCAUUCUCUCUGUGUUAACUGCCGUAUUUUUUUGAAUUGGAGGAAGGUGAUCGCCCGCAUGAACUUAGGGGGGCUUCUUUUUGUUCCAUUUUUUCCUGAUUUGGGAACCAAAGAAGAUCGAAAAAUGAUGGUCCAUCUUUUUUCAUUUUUCUAUCUAUAUUUCAUGUGUGUUGCGGCUGAUUUCAGGUCACAAGGGUUCCUUUUGCCUGUAUUCUUUUUUUUUAAUUCACCAGAUGAAGAAGAUCGUUUGGGAUGGGGUCUUCAUUUUUUGGAAACGACGGGUGAUGUUUAGGGGGUCUAGUGUCUGAUUUUUUUUAGGUCGUAGAGUCUAGGGUCUUGUUUGUUUUAUAGGAUUUUUUUAGGUUAGGGGGUAUGGACUUAGGACUUAUGGGCUAUGUCCGAAAAUUAGGCUUAAAAAUGGGUUGUUUGAAUCCAAAUUUUAUUCUUUCCCUGUGAAUGAGACUAAAAAUACGAUCUCAUUUAUUAAUUAAUCCUACUUAAGUAAAAUAACUAUUAAAAUAAGAUUGAAUGUUAAAACAAAACUAUUUUUGGUAUUUUUCAAGAUUAAAAAUGACUACAAAACAUUAAUGAAACUAUUUUUUUGUAAUUUUUAUUUUCUUGUAAUAAAAUAAAGUAAAAGAGUCAAAAUUAGUUGAAAUAGCGAUAUUAGGCCUAAAUUAAAUAUUUACAUGCUAAAAUAUAAAAAAUCUUGGGGAGGGUCAAAAAUCACAUGUCUACAGCUGCCUCUCUUUGAUUGGAAACGCGAAGAGUUUUCAGAUAAAGAACGACUAGACGGGGUUUUUUGACCCGACCCUUAUUUAAAGAGACCAAAAACUAAGAGGAAGGAGAAUGUGACCGAGCCCUAGUAUCUGAGCUGUCUACAUAUCCCUGGCUAUAAAGAGAUCAGGCCAUGUGUAGUUCAAAAGUGAGUGAGAUGAUGGAGUAUACCGAGUUAGAGAGUCUGUCGAGGUUCCGGCCCGCGGUCCUGUUAUUACAUCAAAAAUCAAAAAAUAAAAAAGACUAGAUAAGCCUAUCAACUAUGAGUUACAAGAUUCCUAUCUAUAAGUCUUCUAAAGAUUGAUAUUGAGUCUUGAAUGGCUCUUCAUAGACUCUAGAUUUGAACCUUGGCACUUGUUAGCUGCAAAUGCUAGCUCGCUCUUCUUCAGCUUUUCGGAUCAACAUCGGACAUGUGGUGCUUGUGACUUCAACCACGUCUUGAGCAGUUCACAUCUUUCUCUGCUUCUGUAUUUUGGAUUCACUUCUCUUUUUUUCCUCUUUUUUUUAUUUUGGAUUGAGACUACUUGUGUUGGUCAUCUCGGAUUGUUGACCCGCAUUCUUGCCGCGAGCUUCUUGUGUUGCUGACUUGAAUUGUAUUCUGAAGUGAAUUCCCUUAUUUUUCAGGUGGGUGCCUGAUUGCCAAACUUGAACUGUCUUCCUUCGAAACUUCAACUGUUUCCCUUGUUCUCCAGGUGGGCGCCCGAUUGCUGAAACUCGAACUGCUUUCCUUGAAACUUGAGCUAUUUUCCCUUGUUCUCCAGGUGGGCGCCUGACUACUGAAACUUGAACUACUUUUCCCUAAAACUUGAGCUGCUUUCCCUUGUUCUCCAGGUGGGCACCUGAUUGCUGAACUUGAACUAUCUUCCUUCGAAACUUGAGCUGUUUUCCCUUGUUCUCUAGGUGAGCGCCUAACUGCUGAAACUCGAACUGCUUUUCCCUGAAACUUGAGCUGCUUUCCUUUGAAACUUGAGCUGUUUUCCCUUGUUACCCAGGUGGGCACCUGACUGCUGAAACUCGAACUGCUUCUCCCUGAAACUUGAGCUGCUUUUCCUUGUUCUCCAAGUGGGCGCCUGAUUGCUGAACUUGAACUGUCUUCCUUCGAAACUACUUUCCCUUAAAACUUGAACUGUUUUCCUUUGUCUCCAGGUGGGCGCCUGAUUGCUGAACUUGAAUUGUCUUCCUUUGAAACUGCUUUCCCUUGAAACUUGAACUGUCUCCCCUUGUUCUCCAUGUGGGCGCCUGAUUGCUGAUCUUGACCUGUCUUUCCCUGAAACUUGAACUGCUUUCCCUUGUUCUCUAGGUGGGCGCCUGAUUGCUGAACUUGACCUGCUUUUCGUUGAAACUCGAAUCAUUUUCCCUUAUUUUCCAGGUGGGCGCAUGACUGCUGGACUUGACCCAUCUCCUCUUGUUACUUGAAACUAUUUUCCCUUGAAGCUUGAACCAUUUUCCCUUUUUAUCCAGGUGGGCACCUGAUUGCUGAGCUUGACCCGCUUUCCUUUGAACUUGUGCCGUCUUCCCUUGUUCUCCAGGUGGGCGCCUGAUUGCAACAAAACAAAAGAAAUUUUUUUGCCUCAGUUUGAUAUUGGGAACAUCUGUGAGUGUUAACCAAUUCUUGUUAUCAAAAUAAGUUCUAAGCUAAAUUCCCUUAUCCUGAAAAUUUUUAAACCUAGUCUCAUCUCAAAAGUGAAAAACUUAAAUUCUAAAUUAUACUUCCCAAAAGUAAACUCUCGUCAGACCUUGUCACUUGUGAGGGUCUCAAAAUUUACUAAAUCCCGUUAUCCAGGAGGGUACUAGAAACUUAUUGCCGAGCCUGUCUGGCACUUGCUUUCCUCAUGAAGGGUUUUCUCUGGAACAAACAAAAUUUUCUGCCCCUAUUUCUAUCAAAGAAAACUUGUGAGUUUAAACAUGGUGGUAUUUGCGGCCUUGACUUUGAGGAUGAUUGCUCCUUCACUUCCCAUGAUAACUACGAUUUCAACUCGAAAGACCUUGCCUGUUUAUUGACUGACCACUUUCUUUGUCACCCUUAUCACGAAAAAUACCUCUGAUCCGUUCAAACCCAAUACCAUUCAUCUGUUGCAUUGUGCUCAUGCAUUGACAUAUAUUGAACCUUUGCGUUUCACAUGAAUCCCAAAGCACGUCAAUUUCCACCCACUCAGUGCACAUGCUGUUCUUUCCUGACUUAAACCACUGGCCUUGGCCUUGAGGUCUAUUGCUCCUUCACUUGCCAUGAUAACUUUGAUUUCCGCUUGGAAGACCUUGCUUGUCAUUGAUUAACCACUUUCUCUAUUAACCUUAUCACAAAAGAUACCUUUGAUUCGUUCACCCAACAUCAUCGAUCUGUUGUAUUGUUCAUGAAUUGACAUAUACUAAACCUUUGUAUUUCACAUGAAUCCCAAAGCACGUUGGUUGUUAGCAACUUAGUGCGCAUGCUGUUCUUUCCUGACUUAAACCACUGGCCUUGGCCUUGAGGCCUAUUGCUCCUUUACUUGCCAUAAUAACUUUGAUUUCCACUUGGAAGACCUUGCUUGUCAUUAGUUAACCACUUUCUCUGUCAACCUUAUCACAGAAAAUACCCUUGAUCCGUUCACCCAACAUCCUCGAUUUGUUGCAUUAUUGAUGAAUUGACACUUUGUAUUUCACAUGAAUCCUAAAGCACGUUGAUUGUUACUAACUCAGUGCGCAUGCUGUUCUUUCCUGACUUAUGCCACUUUGNNNNNNNNNNNNNNNNNNNNNNNNNCUACAAAGUAGAAACUUGUCAGAUGUGGAUACCAAUUCUAAUGACCAUGACAUGCACCUUUAGAUUAAGUGGCCUAACCUGUCAAGUAAAUCUAAUGUUCAACUCUUGUUGUACCUUUUGCCAUGAAACUGGGCUUCAAUGCUUCGAUUAUCCUAUCUAAUUCACGACCCUUAUCCGACUUGUAGUGCCCGAAGGGUUUUCACCAUCAAGCCUCUCUUAUUUUGUUCUUUCUCUCAACUUACCGUCGCCUUAUGGUGCCUGUGAAAGUUUUCACUGAUAAGACUCUCUCAUUUUUUUUCUUCUUCUUCCUCCGAUUCUGUUGAUGACAAGGCAUUGACCGUAGUAAAAACAUCAUAUGCUCCUGGCAUGUCUAAACUCAACACUCUCAAAGAUUAUCUAGGAGGUCUUUUUUGGACUGUGAUGUGGCUUUUGGAUAGGGUUAGAAAGAAAGGAUAUCAUAAAGGCUUAAAAUAACUAAGUAAACGGGGUUAAUUUAUUUAUAACUUUUGGAAUCCAUUCUAAAACUUUGACCCAAUUUCUAAAACAAGGGAAUUUGAUUCUCUUUUUCCUUUUUCUUUUUACUAAGAAAGACUGCCCCACUCUCGACUUCGUGGGAUUAUGAAAUAUUUUAUUUGGUAUGACCGAACCGUAAGGCUGCCUACGUAUCUUGUGGUGACAAGAAGCAGGUCAAACGUAGUUCACAUAGAUGCUUCUUGUUUUUUUUUUCAUAGGCUACCCCCACUUUUCUUUUCUUUUUUUUCAAUCCGCUAGACAAGCGCCUAGGGCUAAUUUUUUAUUAAAAAUAGAAAGGUAAAUACAAUAAUUAGAAAAUUGUCAUUGUCUUCCUUCAAUGAAAGGAAAUAGACUUUGCACUCUAAUGUAACGUACUAUCAAAAUUGAGCAUAAUACCAAAUUGAUAUCACAUUAUACCUACUAAAACUUUGUAGUUGUCAAAACAGCCCAAGUGAGUCCAUGUCGACGUUGUAUCCCAAGUCCAAAGCGUCCAAGUUCUAGAGUUAAAUUUGAUUUGCGUAAAUAGCCCCUUUUCAGCAACUUCACGUAGACUCCACCAAUUUGGCAGCUCGGUACUGUAGCAUACGACACUGUAGCAUACAACACUGUAGCCUAUGGUACUGUAGCAUACGACACUGUAGCAUACGGUUACUGUAGCCAGCUGGUACUGUAGCACGUGAUCAUGUGAUGUCCCCUUGAGAUUCCCACACUAUUGAGGGGGCCAAGGUCCUUGGCAUUUGCACCCAAAGUAAUGGACAUGCCUACAAUGUGCUUGUCUGCAUUAUCAACUUCAUUGUUUGGUAUUUGAACCCAUGCUUCACAUGCUUUUGCUCCUUUUGAUACAUGAGUUUGUAUUUCUCAAAAAUCAUGAUUGCCUAGAUCAAUGUCUUGCCUAUCCCAAUUUAAAACCAGCAUCAUGCGAACGAAUUGCAUUGGCCAGUACAUUUUGCAUUUGUUUAAUGUAUCCAUAGUCCAUAAGGAAUCUAGUUUUAUUGUCUCAAGGCGCCUCUCUACAUUGUGAAGCAUAUGCCUUGGUCUGUGCACCCACGCCUCUAUGCGUUACUAUUUUCCUUUUUCUUUUUUCUUUUUUUCUUUUUUUUUUCUUUUUCCUUCUUUUUUUUUCUUUAUCCCUACUUUCUCUUCUUUUUUUUUGAAUAUUUCUUUUGGAAUGAACUUUCUAAAAUAAACCUAUAUGGAUAAUUUUUUUGUAUGACUCUAACUUGAUUCCAAAAGAGGGGAGGUCAAAGAAAUCAGUACAGGCUCAAAAGGGGAUCGAAGGGUAUAAGUGUUUGGGUAGCUGAAAGAGGGCCUCCCAAUCCUUGAAAAUGCCAAAUACAAAACAUGCAACCUUAAAAAAUAAAAAUUGAAGAUCAUGCAUAACACUACUUUUGCAGCAUCGACAUUGGUACCACAGAUAUGCCUUCCACUUUUCUUUAGUGCCUUGUCAAAUACAUAGCUCUUCUUGGGUGAUUUAUUCUUCAAAAUGGAUGUGCUCUGUCAAUUCGGAGCAAAACCCCUUGGAUUUAUCUUGUUACCUGAGGUACACUUGAACUCAAAACUACUCGCUUCAAAUUGUCUAGGAUGCACUCUCUUGUAACAGAUUCUUGUCGUCCUAUUAACGUCCCAAAUUAUCUGCCCCAGUUUUACAUGGUUUGGGCUUCAAAUGAUCUCAAAAUGUCCAAAUCUGUACUUAUUGCCCUCAGGUGUCCCUAUCACCUUCAAAAUUAUUUCAUUGCUUCAUGAUGAAACUAAAUUUUAAGACCAGGCCUAGAAUUAUGCGUGCAUGUCAUGUCACUAGAGUCUGCAUGAAAAGAACUAUAAAAGGAGAAGAGUACUAAACAAAAAAUGACUAGAAAUAACAGAAGCAGAAAAUUGCAUUAGAUAGAUGGUGAAAGGGUUUGAACAACAAGACAAAUAACUGGGGUACAAACCUGGAACAAACCUAGGUAACACUAAGUGAGUUACUACGACUAAAGGAACUAGGCAAAAUAAAAGGAUAGAAGGGUUUGAGUCACAAGACAAUAUCUGGAUUACAACCCUGCAAUAACCCGGUCAACAGAAAUGACAACAAAAUGAACCACCAAGACUCCUCCCUGGCUAGCCAACAAAGGAGCAUCUUUCCAAUUACCAAGCUCGGCAUCUUAGCCACUGAGUUCCACAUCAAUAUUACCAAGACCAUCUAAUUUCAAUAUCAUUAACUUCACCAUGUGGCUUAUUUACUCCUUUGACCAACCCUUCGUCAUUCCAAACCAUCCCAACAAUCUGUGCGUUGUCAUGUACCUGUAGAGGAUUAUGUGUGACACUUGGGGUAUUACUGCCUUGGAUCAUAAUUAUUCCUUCUUGAAUCAUUCUUUCUAUUUCCCUUUUAAAAGCAUAAGAAUCUUCAAUGCUAUGCCCUUGGACAUUAGAAUGGUACAUGCACCGUACAGUAGGAUCAAAUCCUUUUGCAUAUGGGUCUGGCGUAUAGCCGACGAGCGGCUCGAUCAGGCCAGAAUGUUUUAACUUUUCAAACAAGUUUGUGUAGGAUUCUUCGAUGGGCGUGAAAUUAUCUCUUUGCCUUUGUUUCCCUCCAUGCCCCAGUUUUCUAGGGUUGUUGGAUGCUCGAAAAUGCUAUGAAGGCAAAAUUGAAUUAUGCGGUGCUGGCGCUUGCCAUGAGGAAUGGCCCAGUGGUUGGACAAAUGGUCGGAUAAUACUGGGGUAGAUUAUGUGGAGCUCGAGGAUAUUCAUGGGGUCGGUAUUGAGGCUGGAAGCAUUUAGCAGGAAUGUCCACUGGAUCCUGUCGUUGGCAGGGCUCAGCAACAUCUUUUCUUUCAAUCGGAGGACUGACCCGAGCAACUUGUUCGUUCCAUCUAAACCAAAACUCCCUAAAACUUUAUUUGAGUUUUUUUUCCAUCUGAGAUAGGGAGGAGCGGUUUAAGACAAUGUCCAUAUUGCACUGAAAGUGUUGCACAAAAUCUUGCACCAUCUCAUCCCAUGUAUGUCGCUUACCGACAUCUUGACGAGUAUGCCAUUCCAAAGCUACCCCAGUUAGGCUCUCACCGAAAUACGCCAUCAGCAACUUAUCUUUCCCGCCAACACUUCUCAUUUCACUGCAAUAACCCCUCAGAUGGGCUACUGGAUUUCCACACCCAUCAUACAAAUUAAACUUUGGCAUCUUAAACCCUUUCAGCUUUCUAGAUAUCUCAUCUUGCUCCACUGUCUUAGCAGGCUUUGCAGUCUCACCGGGGGAGGGGGGGGGUCGUCAAAUGAGGAGCAUGAGAGUAUGGAUUUGAGACCUUGAAAGUGGGUUCUAGAGCAUAGUAUUGGACAUUGGGGAUUUUGAACACAGUCUCGGUAGAGGAUUGAGGAAAAGUAGCUGGAGGAGGAGCUACAAGAGCAUGAGUGGCCAAAGGUGGAGGAUGCUCCCUGAUCCAAGACUGAUACAUUUAUGCCAUCUGCUGUUUCAACAUUUGGACCUCCCAUUUCAACUCAGAUUCUGAUUCAAUAAUUCCUUUAGACGGAUCAAUAACCCCUAUGUCCAAGUUUUUGCUAGCCAUGGCUACCUUGCCCUUUGACCUUGUGUUGUAUGUAAGAGUUACCAGUUUAAGAACCACAAACCAACCACCCUUCUUCUAUAAUGAGGAUAACAAAGAGGAACAAAGUGAAGUCAUCAUGUUAGCAUUAGGGUAUUUAAUAGCUAAAAAUAUCAAAUUACGUGCAAUGCACCUAGCAACAAUUAACGGUUCAAGAAUGACUUCGAGGGUCACAAGGUCACUUGGCAUCAUCCCAAUUUGUUCAUUUGAAUCUUCUCUUUUCUUUUCUAACACAUCUUAGCUUGUUCAUUUUCUUUCCUCUUCUCUUUUUUUAAUCAUCACUCUUUUCUUUUUCUCAUUUCUCACAUCCCAUAAUUUCACCUCUUUUUUCUCUCUUUUUCUUUUUUUUUUCUCAAAAAUAAUUCGAUCGAACCCUAUGUAGGUUGCCUACAUAUCAUGACGCCACAUGAAUCAGAUCUUUGCAUAGUUCGGGAAAAUCGGGAAUAAAGUAAACAAACUAACAUUCUCUUUUUCUUCUUUUUUUUUCUUUUCUUUUUUACCUUAAUGACUAACUCUGAUAAGAAAAGAGAAAUAAAAGAAGCAAAUCCUUUUUUUUUGAAUUUUCUAGACUUAAUGUUUGACAACCUAUUCUAAACUCAAACUUAAUGAGCAUAUAUAUAUUUUCUCUUUUUUUGAAACAUAUACUCUAUGGAAAAUUAUUAAGGAUAAAACCCUACAAGCGAAGAAUAGUUUUUUGAUUCUUUUUUUUUAGGAAGGCAAUCUAAAGAAUAAACCAAAGAAAAAAUAUUUUGAAUUUUCAUUUGAUAACCAGAAGAAGUAUUUCGAAAUGAGAAAUGAACAAGAUGAAAAAAAUAUUUUUGGAUUUCAGUUUUUGAUUACCUAAGAAAGAAACUUUAAAGAUAAACAAAAGAUAAAGUAUGUUUUUUUUCUAUGUACAAUGUCCUAAAGUUUUAAUGAAAAUAAAAAUAUUUUUUUCAUUUUUCAUUAAUUUCCCAAAGAAGCACCUCAAAAGAAAAUCUUUUUGGAUUUCUGAAAUUAAUACCUUAAAGAAAAUGUUUUAAGAGGUACUAAAAGAAAAUUCUUUUUUUUUUGAAUUUUUAGUCUUAAUGUACUAAAAGGAAGUAUAAAAGCAAUUUUUUAUUUUGAGUUCUAGAUAUUAAUUUCCUAAAGGAAAAACCACCUCAAAAAUAUUUUUUCAUUUUUAGAAUUAGUAUUCUAAAGAAAAUUUCUAACGGAAAUAUAAACCGCAAAAUCUCCUUUUUGGAUUUUUGACUUAUUACACAUCUUUUUUUCAAAUACAAAAUAGAAAAUGCCAUAACAAAAGACUCAACAAACUUAAUUAGCCUAUGACAGAAUCUAAUAUCACCUCAAGGACUUGGCAUUAUUAUACAAAACUAGAAGGUAAAGGACGACAUAAAAAUAAAACAGACUCAAAACAUAACAAAAAAAAAAUUCUUAAGCAAGCUCCUGAAUGAGCGAUCUAGACUGGAUGGUCUUAAGGAGUCUGUCAUGACCAAACUCCGGUAAGUAGAUCCACACCUGUAUGAGAAAAUUAAGACAAAAUAAAGUUAAAGACCUAGAACGCUAGGUGAGAUAAUAACCCUUCCUGUGGGACACAUGCAAGACAUGAUUGAAGCUAUUUUUGCAAAAUGACUUAUUUGGCCAAAAGGUGGCUAGAAGUGCAAAAUUUGGCUAAGACUCCGCAAAGCCAAGAACCUAAGAUUCACUAGGAAGACCGUACCCUAUGUGGGUUGCUUGCGUAUCACGCCCCGAAAGACGAGAAUCAGGUAUGCAUAGUUCAGGCAUUGGAUACGGGGCGAGAAUUAAAAAACAACUAAUUUAGAGAAAAAAUAUAUUUCUGUCUUUUUUUUUUGAAAAAUGAUGAAACAUGUAAGCUCUUUUUGGAUUUUUUUUCUUUUUCUUUUUUUUUAUUUUUAUUUUUGAAAAAUGAGGGGAACGUGCAAAAUCUUUUUUUUUUUUGGAUUUUUCAUGUUUUUUCUUAACAAAAAUGUGACAGAAAACAUAAUCGGACCCUACUUGCUUUUUUUUUCUUUUUUUAUUUGCUCUCAACUAUCAUUGGUCUGCCAAAUGACCCUUUCACUCUUGAAGAAAUGCAACAUGUAGCACAUAGGAUGCACCAAGGUGGUCUGUUAUUUUGGGUACACCUGUCUUAGACAGACCAAACCCCUGUGUUGAGUGCCCUAAGUCAAAUGCACAUGAUGCAAACAAACGUUCCUACUAUGGAUCUGGAAUGAGGCUAUGUUUUUCUAGGUUUAAAACCUAGGGUUGUGUUCUAGACCUGGCUUAUCCGAGCGGACAACUCGAGCUGAAGAGGGGGCAUCGUACCGGGAGCACUGAAGUCUACCCUACAUUGUUGCUAGCCCAACCUCGUUCUAUUUGGUAUGACUUCUACAGAAAAAGCAGGCCACGCGAACGUGUGCACCAUUUCCAGAAGACUUAGGGGGUGGGGGUAAGAAGACAGUUAUAUACAAUUCAAAUAAUAUCAAAGCGGUAAAUAGAUAACAAUUAGCACAAAAGGUUCACAAAAUACAGUAAUAUCAACAAUAAAUAAAACCAAAUAAAAAUCAUAUUAACAAGUUCAAAUUCUUUAACCCUGAACCAGAGAUUCUGGGUUCUUAUCACCAACAGAGUCACCAGAGGUGUAACACCUCCUUUUUACUACCCCGGAAGGGGUAUUAAGGGAGCUUUUUCCAAUUAAAGUGACAAUCAAAACAUGAUUAUUUAUUUAAAAAUUAGAGUCGCCACUUGGGAUAAUUUAUGGUGUCCCAAGUCACCUGUUUAAAAUCCUGAAUCGAGGAAGUUUGACUCUAUUUACGGUUUGCGAACACAGAAAUCUAUGUAAGGAAAUCUGUUAACUUGGGAGAAGGUGUUAGGCAUUCCCGAGUUCUGUGGUUCUAGCAUGGUCGCUUUGAUCAUACUUGGCUUAAUCAAAUUGUCUUAUUACUCAUUUUAGAAUCUAUGUGUAUUUGCCUUUUUUAAUUAAGAAAUUAUCUUGAAACGGGUCACGCGUACGUGUACCCAUUUGUUUGGCACGUUACAAAUUAUGUCACGCGAAUGUGGCGACAAUUAACAACUCUUUAUUAUUAUUAAGAAAGUUUGGCUGAAGUUGCGCGAACACAUACUCCAAUUUUGUUUUUAGAAAUCUUAAUCAUGUCACGCGAACGUGUCCACAAUCAUAAUGAUAUAUUAAACGGGCCUAAAGCAACAACGAGCAUUUGCCAUUUUUAUAUCUAAGUCAUAAGAUUAAUACGAGGGCCAUGAAUCAUUAAAUUGUGGAUGGCACACCUCGGACUAUUAAAUCAAAAUUAGUUUAGAGGCUUAUUAAAACCAAUUUUAUUAUUAAGAAAGUUUGAUCAAAGUUGCGCGAACACAUACUCUGAAUUGGUUUUUGGAAUUGUAAUUAUGUCACGCGAACGUGUACACAAUCACGAUGAUAUAUUAAACGCGCCUAAAGCAAGCUACGAUAUUCAUUUUUUAAAAAUGUACUCGUGUCACGCGAACGUGUACACAAUUAAUAACAAUUAUUAUUAUAAACAUUGUCUCGCCCAAAGUUGCGCUUAUGACAAAUUAAAAGGAGUAAUUAUUUCCUGCAAGAUUAAAGCAAGCCCAAAAGCAACGUAUACCAAACCAACAAAAAUAAAUGCACGAAAUUGGCCUCCUAAAAUCACAUCAUUGCAACCAACAAAAGUAUACCAAACCCCAAUAUUGAAUAGUCAUAAAAGAUAGGCAGACUCAUUGAUUAGAUCAGUUAAAAACCUUUCACCUCUUUGUAUUGUCUAUUAGGCAGAAAUUACAUUAAUAGUAGUACUCCACAUUAAAUCCUAAAGUUUAAUUUUGAACUCACUUUUCUCUCUUCUUCUCACCUCAACAAUGGGUUAUCGACAGAAGAGUCAAACACAAAGGAACAAGAAUAAUAUAGCAAAUUAACUUUAAACAUUCAAGACAUAGAACAUCACAAAGAGGCAUAAAUCAGAAAACAAAUCAAACCUUAAUUUUAUUCCCAAAGUAUAGAGUGAGAUAGAAAUGAUAAUGGAGAUUAAUAUUGAAUUUGAAACUCAAACGCUUGGAUUGCUUUGAGACUCACAAGCAACAAGAUCGCGAACAAAACCUCGACGGAAAACCUCGCCAGAAACCUCGGACUAAAGCCUGUGUUCUAAUGGUGUUUUGAGAUGAUUUUGAGCAACAAUUGCUACCUAUGAAGAUCAGUACCGCAUGGGAGAAGUGCACAAGGACAUUGGAGUGGCCCUCUGUUUUUGUCCCUUUUUCCAGAUCUCUCGUUCUCUCUAUGUUAACUGCCGGAUUUUUUUGAAUUGG